Long non-coding RNA from Ceratitis capitata (Mediterranean fruit fly), 1587 nucleotides. RefSeq lists it as uncharacterized. Lineage: Eukaryota; Metazoa; Arthropoda; Insecta; Diptera; Tephritidae. The record is from RefSeq and is a predicted model, not a curated record. The transcript is spliced from 3 exons.
GACCUUUCCCUACAGCUGAACUAGCAGCAUUGUGCUCUGUGCCGUAACCUGCCUUGCUGCUCGGAAGGCUGCACUGACUUGUCAUAACCGAAGAUAUUUUAAUGCCAAAAGCCACCAGUGGCUUCAUCAGCUGGAUAAUGUGCUUUGAAAAAGUCAAAUUCGUGGCUUCUUCGAGUUGGGCAUCUAAUAAGGAUGACUCUCAGGCUGCUGGUGAAUUAAAGCUUAAGCUAAAGCCGACGAAAACAGGCUUCCCAUCGAAAGAAUGUCUUCAAAAAAUUUGGCAGAUUCAUAAUUUGUUCUUCUAACUCAGUCAACGAAGGAAUCUUAAGGGGACGUGAUCUUGAACUGGAUAUCUUUCUCUAUAUCUGCUUCUGCCAAUGAAGACUAUUAAAGCACAUUUAACAUUCAUUGUCAGUCUUCAUUAAAAUUGCAAAACGUACCAACUGUUGACGACAAGAACGACUACAACAACCCACAUCAGCAACAGCGGGCAACACGUUAACCAUACCAACAACAACAAUGUCGUCAACAAUAUAUGAACCAAUGUUGAAGACUACGACAAAUGGCUGCAAUGUUUACCCAACAAUUGACGCUGCCCGACGGCACGGCGGCGGGUGGCAGUGCUGGGCUUGGUGUGCGGGUAUGCAGAACUAUUGAUGGUGUUGAAACCAAAGAAAAGAAAAAAAGCAAUCACGAACUCAUUUUAAACUCGUUAAUUCAAAAAGUAUUUCUUAAGCGAGGGCUAAGAUACUACGUGUAGACUUUCAAGGAUUUUGAAGUUUAACUUGGAAACAAUCUAGUGGGAAAUCCCAGAGAAAAUCGAUUUUUUCACUAAAAAGUCACCCCUUCGGUUAUGCUUCUAUAAAUUACGAUUAAAAACGUAAAUAUUAAUUUAAAGUUUAAAUUAAAAAGUAUAGAAAGUUGCACAAGUACUGCAUACAUAUGUAUGUACAUGCUCGUACAAGGACAUGGUUGAUGUCCAGCUUCAAUUAAUUAAAAGUUUCCCUUUUGUGAUACGCAGAGUCAACUUCUGGUUGCGACAGUAGCUUUAACUUUUGUACAAAAACAAACAAAAAACAUAAGGUAAAAUAAAAUAAUAAAAGCGAAUUACAGAAAAUUUGGAGGCCGGUGCAAACUCUUGUAGAACUCAAAGUUGAUCUAUCAGCUGAUGUCCAAAUUGUACUGAAUUUAUUCUCAUCCAUGCUGAAUGGUAGUGAAAAGGGACCCCCACAAUAUUUCCUCGUCCGGCUAUGAAGAAGUUCAAAUUGUGAAAAAAACAAAGCGGCGGUGGGAUGGAUUAUUCGCUGAGCUACUCAAAUGCGGUGUCGGGUUUGCUAAAACAGGGUAGGAUGAAAAUAUUCCCAUGAUGGGAAUCUAAUUGUGCUCUGCCCAAUCCGCAAGAAGGGCGAAUUGUGUGAAAGACUAGAAGCGGCCUCCAUUCCGCUUUUUUCUGAAUUUGGAAACCUCGCAAAACUUACACGGCUGUAUAAAUUGACAUAGACAUUAUACAGCUAGGAAGCUCAGCGUUCAGGUCUGGAAAAGAAAGGUCCCCUCUCGAAAAACAAAUACAAAAAGAGGAAGAGCAAA